This 368-nucleotide unclassified non-coding RNA is filed under the name fungal sp. RNAcentral describes it as "partial internal transcribed spacer region". The stretch from base 1 to 46 matches the Rfam family "Eukaryotic small subunit ribosomal RNA", at positions 1786 to 1831 of the family's 1831-position model. Lineage: Eukaryota; Fungi. The record is from RNAcentral.
AAGUCGUAACAAGGUUUCCGUAGGUGAACCUGCGGAAGGAUCAUUAACACUUUUUCAAAAAUGGUUUUUCUUUUAGAAAAACUUAUUUCUGCCCACCUUUUGGAUGAACUUUUUUGAUGGCGAGAUAUUGCAGCUUCUUUUUUGAGGUUGUGUAUAUCUUUCUAUCAUGUUUUUCAUUAUUUCAAACUUUUUAACCCCAAACAACCAAUUUAUUUUACAAAUUGCUAUAUCUUGAAAAAGCCUAACAUGUGUGUGGGUUUGUGUUGGGUGUGAUCAAUGCAAAUUGAUCGCCUCCAACUAAAAACUUAUCACUCAAGAAAUCAUAAAAACUAAGAAAACAACUCUUAACAACGGAUAUCUUGGCUCUC